AGAAAAGGAGACGAGAUUCUCGGCGUGACUUUGACUGCUCCAUAUCAGACCACCACGGCAUAGUCUCUCUCUUUCUUCUUCUCCCUUAUCUCUCUACACUUGGCCAAACCAUCUCUUCCCCCAGCAUUUCAGAAUGGGCAGCCCAUUCAAAGACCACCACCACCACCACCACCCCUUCUCUCUCGCUAAGAAGCUUAUUCCUUGGACCUUUUAUGCUAUGAUCCCUUUAGUUCUCUUUCGCUUGUACUUUUACCCUUACCCCCUCCACAACAUCACCACUCCCAUUCUCACCUCCUCCUCCUCCUCUGUUUCUUCUUCCACUCCUUUCGUAGGUACACUCAUUUACUUGAAAAUCAAAACAGAGGAAACUUCCUGUGACUACACCACUGGCAAAUGGGUACGUGAUAAAAGAGGUCCUUUGUAUAACGGCUCAGCCUGUGGUACAAUCAAGGAAGGACAGAAUUGCAUCGCUCACGGCAGGCCCGACAUGGGUUAUCUCUACUGGAGAUGGAAACCAAAGCAUUGUAAGCUCCCAAGGUUUGAACCCAAUACAUUCCUCCAACUCCUUAGAAACAAACAUUUAGCUUUUGUCGGUGACUCUAUGGCUAGAAACCAAUUGGAGUCACUUCUUUGCAUGCUAUCCUCUGCCUCUGCCCCUAAUCUUGUUUAUCGAGAUGGUGACGAUAAUAAGUUUCGUAGAUGGUACUUUGAGUCUCAUAAUAUCAACAUCUCAGUUUACUGGUCACCAUUUCUCGUGAAAGGUGUGGAAAAAUCCAAUACCGGUCCCAAUCAUAACCAGCUGUAUUUGGACCACGUUGAUGAGAGAUGGGCUGCUGAUAUGAAUGGAAUUGACAUGAUUGUGUUAUCAAUUGGUCAUUGGUUCUUACAUCCUGCAGUGUAUUAUGAAGGCGAUCAAGUACUGGGUUGUCAUUACUGUCCUGGUCUUAAUCACACUGAGAUUGGAUUUUAUGAUGUCUUGAGGAAGGCUAUAAAAACCACACUUAAGGCUCUAAUUGACAGGAAAGGGGCUAAUAGCAAUGGUAUUAAUGCAUUCGUGACUACCUUUUCUCCUGCCCAUUUCGAAGGUGACUGGGAUAAGUUAGGUGCUUGUCCAAAAACCAAGCCUUAUAAGGAGGGAGAUAAAGCACUUGAAGGAAUGGAUGCAGACAUGAGACAGAUUGAGGUUGAAGAAGUGGAAGCAGCAAAAAUGAAUUCUACACAGCUUGAAAAGUUCAGAUUAGAGGCACUUGAUGUUACCAGCUUGUCAUUAAUGAGGCCAGACGGUCACCCAGGUCCAUAUAUGCAUCCAUUUCCAUUUGCCAAUGGCGUUACUGAGCGCGUGCAAAAUGAUUGUGUGCAUUGGUGCUUGCCUGGGCCUAUAGAUACUUGGAAUGAGAUAUUGCUUGAGGUUAUAAAGAAAUGGGACUAUGAAUCAAGAAGAGAAGAAUGAGCCAUGACAAGGUUAUUGUGUAAGAAUGCUAAUUUCGAUCUAUCUGGGUGGUGGCUGGUUUCGAGUUUCGACUGAUCAAGAAGAUGGGAUAAAUGGUGCCAACCAUAAUGAUCUUUUUGGACUAUACUUUGGUCUGGCUAAAAUGUAUAGACGAUGUCAACGUAAGAACAUGGCCAUGGUCCAAACAAUUUGCAACCUUCCGCCGAGGAAUUUGUUUGGGUGUGGGUUCGGAUGCUGCCUAAACCCCUUUAAUUUUAAAUGUGAAUUGAAUUGAUCAAAGCAAGAGGCAAUGCUGGUUCAAGCAAGUUGCAGUACUGCGGAUGCUGUUCAAAAACAGACUCCCUCGAACGUUUAUUUGCUUACAACUGCGGCGGCGUGCUCGCCGUCUCCCAAAAGUCAAAUUGAAAUAUUAUUAUCCAUAGCAAUAAAAUAAAAUAAAAUUGAAACUCUAUUCUCUUUUGAUCUUUGUGGGGUUCCAUUUGUUUGAGCUCAAAAACCCCAUGCAAGGGAUCCGAAGUUUCUUCAUGUGGCUUGUUCAUGACGAUGGAGACCUCAUUAUAUCAAUGAAUUCUCAAUCAUAUUCUUUAUUUGCUUUUAGUCAACAAAACUAUUAAGUGGUCACAUGAAAUCGCGUAGUUUUUCUUUUUUAUUCUCAAUUGAUUUUACAAUAGAAUGGGAAGUAAUUGUACAGUAAUCUCUAAUAUUGAGUAAAAGAUCAAAAGAAGCAUUGGGCUCCAGGCUAAUUUUAGUC
This is an RNA transcript of Populus trichocarpa (black cottonwood), 2201 nucleotides long. It is a transcript of the gene named xyloglucan O-acetyltransferase 1, with no coding region annotated. The record is from RefSeq and is marked validated. Lineage: Eukaryota; Viridiplantae; Streptophyta; Magnoliopsida; Malpighiales; Salicaceae. The transcript has 3 exons.